Molecule: ribosomal RNA, 2933 nt
Filed under: Escherichia fergusonii
Lineage: Bacteria; Pseudomonadati; Pseudomonadota; Gammaproteobacteria; Enterobacterales; Enterobacteriaceae
Description: 23S ribosomal RNA
Rfam family: Bacterial large subunit ribosomal RNA
Source: RNAcentral
GGGUUGUGAGGUUAAGCGACUAAGCGUACACGGUGGAUGCCCUGGCAGUCAGAGGCGAUGAAGGACGUGCUAAUCUGCGAUAAGCGUCGGUAAGGUGAUAUGAACCGUUAUAACCGGCGAUUUCCGAAUGGGGAAACCCAGUGUGAUUCGUCACACUAUCAUUAACUGAAUCCAUAGGUUAAUGAGGCGAACCGGGGGAACUGAAACAUCUAAGUACCCCGAGGAAAAGAAAUCAACCGAGAUUCCCCCAGUAGCGGCGAGCGAACGGGGAGGAGCCCAGAGCCUGAAUCAGUGUGUGUGUUAGUGGAAGCGUCUGGAAAGGCGCGCGAUACAGGGUGACAGCCCCGUACACAAAAAUGCACAUAUUGUGAGCUCGAUGAGUAGGGCGGGACACGUGGUAUCCUGUCUGAAUAUGGGGGGACCAUCCUCCAAGGCUAAAUACUCCUGACUGACCGAUAGUGAACCAGUACCGUGAGGGAAAGGCGAAAAGAACCCCGGCGAGGGGAGUGAAAAAGAACCUGAAACCGUGUACGUACAAGCAGUGGGAGCACGCUUCGGCGUGUGACUGCGUACCUUUUGUAUAAUGGGUCAGCGACUUAUAUUCUGUAGCAAGGUUAACCGAAUAGGGGAGCCGAAGGGAAACCGAGUCUUAACUGGGCGUUAAGUUGCAGGGUAUAGACCCGAAACCCGGUGAUCUAGCCAUGGGCAGGUUGAAGGUUGGGUAACACUAACUGGAGGACCGAACCGACUAAUGUUGAAAAAUUAGCGGAUGACUUGUGGCUGGGGGUGAAAGGCCAAUCAAACCGGGAGAUAGCUGGUUCUCCCCGAAAGCUAUUUAGGUAGCGCCUCGUGAAUUCAUCUCCGGGGGUAGAGCACUGUUUCGGCAAGGGGGUCAUCCCGACUUACCAACCCGAUGCAAACUGCGAAUACCGGAGAAUGUUAUCACGGGAGACACACGGCGGGUGCUAACGUCCGUCGUGAAGAGGGAAACAACCCAGACCGCCAGCUAAGGUCCCAAAGUCAUGGUUAAGUGGGAAACGAUGUGGGAAGGCCCAGACAGCCAGGAUGUUGGCUUAGAAGCAGCCAUCAUUUAAAGAAAGCGUAAUAGCUCACUGGUCGAGUCGGCCUGCGCGGAAGAUGUAACGGGGCUAAACCAUGCACCGAAGCUGCGGCAGCGACGCUUAUGCGUUGUUGGGUAGGGGAGCGUUCUGUAAGCCUGUGAAGGUGUGCUGUGAGGCAUGCUGGAGGUAUCAGAAGUGCGAAUGCUGACAUAAGUAACGAUAAAGCGGGUGAAAAGCCCGCUCGCCGGAAGACCAAGGGUUCCUGUCCAACGUUAAUCGGGGCAGGGUGAGUCGACCCCUAAGGCGAGGCCGAAAGGCGUAGUCGAUGGGAAACAGGUUAAUAUUCCUGUACUUGGUGUUACUGCGAAGGGGGGACGGAGAAGGCUAUGUUGGCCGGGCGACGGUUGUCCCGGUUUAAGCGUGUAGGCUGGUUUUCCAGGCAAAUCCGGAAAAUCAAGGCUGAGGCGUGAUGACGAGGCACUACGGUGCUGAAGCGACAAAUGCCCUGCUUCCAGGAAAAGCCUCUAAGCAUCAGGUAACAUCAAAUCGUACCCCAAACCGACACAGGUGGUCAGGUAGAGAAUACCAAGGCGCUUGAGAGAACUCGGGUGAAGGAACUAGGCAAAAUGGUGCCGUAACUUCGGGAGAAGGCACGCUGAUAUGUAGGUGAAGCGACUUGCUCGUGGAGCUGAAAUCAGUCGAAGAUACCAGCUGGCUGCAACUGUUUAUUAAAAACACAGCACUGUGCAAACACGAAAGUGGACGUAUACGGUGUGACGCCUGCCCGGUGCCGGAAGGUUAAUUGAUGGGGUUAGCGGUAACGCGAAGCUCUUGAUCGAAGCCCCGGUAAACGGCGGCCGUAACUAUAACGGUCCUAAGGUAGCGAAAUUCCUUGUCGGGUAAGUUCCGACCUGCACGAAUGGCGUAAUGAUGGCCAGGCUGUCUCCACCCGAGACUCAGUGAAAUUGAACUCGCUGUGAAGAUGCAGUGUACCCGCGGCAAGACGGAAAGACCCCGUGAACCUUUACUAUAGCUUGACACUGAACAUUGAGCCUUGAUGUGUAGGAUAGGUGGGAGGCUUUGAAGUGUGGACGCCAGUCUGCAUGGAGCCGACCUUGAAAUACCACCCUUUAAUGUUUGAUGUUCUAACGUUGGCCCGUAAUCCGGGUUGCGGACAGUGUCUGGUGGGUAGUUUGACUGGGGCGGUCUCCUCCUAAAGAGUAACGGAGGAGCACGAAGGUUGGCUAAUCCUGGUCGGACAUCAGGAGGUUAGUGCAAUGGCAUAAGCCAGCUUGACUGCGAGCGUGACGGCGCGAGCAGGUGCGAAAGCAGGUCAUAGUGAUCCGGUGGUUCUGAAUGGAAGGGCCAUCGCUCAACGGAUAAAAGGUACUCCGGGGAUAACAGGCUGAUACCGCCCAAGAGUUCAUAUCGACGGCGGUGUUUGGCACCUCGAUGUCGGCUCAUCACAUCCUGGGGCUGAAGUAGGUCCCAAGGGUAUGGCUGUUCGCCAUUUAAAGUGGUACGCGAGCUGGGUUUAGAACGUCGUGAGACAGUUCGGUCCCUAUCUGCCGUGGGCGCUGGAGAACUGAGGGGGGCUGCUCCUAGUACGAGAGGACCGGAGUGGACGCAUCACUGGUGUUCGGGUUGUCAUGCCAAUGGCACUGCCCGGUAGCUAAAUGCGGAAGAGAUAAGUGCUGAAAGCAUCUAAGCACGAAACUUGCCCCGAGAUGAGUUCUCCCUGACCCUUUAAGGGUCCUGAAGGAACGUUGAAGACGACGACGUUGAUAGGCCGGGUGUGUAAGCGCAGCGAUGCGUUGAGCUAACCGGUACUAAUGAACCGUGAGGCUUAACCUUACAACGCCGAAGGUGUUU